CUAUAUCUAGACAUCACGGGCGUCCGGGAAUCCGGUGCGCCGAGUCAUCGGCAAGGCCGGGGCUGUCCCCGCAACUGUAAGCGGAGAGCAUUUCCGUCGCUAGUCACUGGCCGGGCGACCGGCCGGGAAGGCGAGGCGGGGAGGCGAUUCCCGCAAGCCAGGAGACCGAGCCCGUGAUCGCGUCAACGU
This 189-nucleotide non-coding RNA is filed under the name Inquilinus limosus. The record is from RNAcentral. Lineage: Bacteria; Pseudomonadati; Pseudomonadota; Alphaproteobacteria; Rhodospirillales; Rhodospirillaceae.